GCCUCCGUGGCGCAAUCGGCUAGCGCGUUCGGCUGUUAACCGAAAGGUUGGUGGUUCGAGCCCUACCGGGGGCG
RNAcentral lists this transfer RNA (74 nucleotides) under Trichonephila clavata. It matches the Rfam family "tRNA". Rfam says of the family: Transfer RNA (tRNA) molecules are approximately 80 nucleotides in length. Their secondary structure includes four short double-helical elements and three loops (D, anti-codon, and T loops). Further hydrogen bonds mediate the characteristic L-shaped molecular structure. tRNAs have two regions of fundamental functional importance: the anti-codon, which is responsible for specific mRNA codon recognition, and the 3' end, to which the tRNAs corresponding amino acid is attached (by aminoacyl-tRNA synthetases). tRNAs cope with the degeneracy of the genetic code in two manners: having more than one tRNA (with a specific anti-codon) for a particular amino acid; and 'wobble' base-pairing, i.e. permitting non-standard base-pairing at the 3rd anti-codon position. Lineage: Eukaryota; Metazoa; Arthropoda; Arachnida; Araneae; Nephilidae. The record is from Rfam by way of RNAcentral.